Molecule: long non-coding RNA, 1507 nt
Filed under: Homo sapiens (human)
Lineage: Eukaryota; Metazoa; Chordata; Mammalia; Primates; Hominidae
Description: HSALNT0153611
Source: RNAcentral
GCCAACCACGUCCCUCCUUUCAGUUCGUCCAGGCUCGGUCACUGCACAUCUGUUAUUCAGUUCACUCACAGACAGCAAACCAAGGGGUUGUGCUGUCUCCUUGUCUCCCAGGGAUAAACCCACAUGACAGUUUACAAAAACAGGUAAUCAUAAGAAGCAAAUGGCCCAGAUGAAACACAGCAAAAGAAUGAGAAGUGGUAACACUGGGAGUGAAAUUUGAACCAAGCGUAAAUGGAGUGAUCGUAGAAAUAGCUGACUGUGGAAUGUGGACACUCUCUGUAUCUGCAGCCUGGGAAGCUUAAAGAAGGUGAACUUACUGACACCAGUUAGAAAGUGACUGUGAUGAAACGAUGAAGAUGCUCCAGAGGAAGUGACACCAGCAAUAGGAAAAAAAAAACAAACCUCUCACUGAAGGAACUCUCGGAGAUAUUUCAUGACACAGAAGGCACAAAGGAUACAAUAUUGGCAACUAAUCGAAACUUAGAAAUGAUAUGACAGCUCACCAAGGCAUAGAAAAAGAUGCUUGCUCUAUCAUAAGUUAUAGAAUGAGAAGAAGCAGUAUAUCAGAAAACUCAAAUAUAACUCCACAACUUUUUCAAGAGUUUCUUUUUGUUUUCCAAUGGUAACGGGAGAGAAAAUAAGCUGUCAUUAUCGGAAUGAUCAAACACAGAGAGAAAAGAGGCAGAGGUGAGAAGAUGGAGAAGAUGAAUACAUUUGCUUUCAGCAAACCAAUGGAAGUCCAUUUGCAUGAUCUGAAAAGGAAAAUGAGAAGCUAAUUUUUCUAUACAAGGCAGAAUUUAAGAAAUACAAUUCCUAAGGACUCCAGUGGAUACAGCUCUGGUUCCUGGACUUCGUGUUUUGGCUUGGUCUUUCUGCUUUUUCAAUUUUGUCACUGGUGUGAUCCAGAGAACAUGCCUUUCACUGUGAAAACCAGCACCUUCAAGGCCAGGCGCAGUGGCUUGCGCCUAUAAUCCCAGCAUAUUGGGAGGCCGAGGUGGGUGGAUCACCUGAGGUCAGGAGUUCAAGACCAACCUGACCAACAUGGUCUACUAAAAAUACAAAAAUUAGCCCGGCAUGGUGGCGGGCGCCUAUAAUCCCAGGUACUCGGGAGGCUGAGACAUGAGAAUAGCUUGAACCAGGGAGGCGGAGGUUGCAGUGAGACGAGAUCACACCAUUGCACUCCAGCCUGGGCAACAGAGCAAGACUCCAUCUCAAAAACAAACAAACAAACAAACAAAAACACCACACAAAACCAGCACCUUCCACAGUGUCUAGCAUACGUUAGUCACCAAAACAGGUUUGCUAAAUGAACAAAUGAAUGAAUGGCAUUUUAUGUGUCAGUAAAUAUGCUUCAAAAUCAUGAUGUAUGAUGAGUAAGCAACUCUAUCAAAUAAAUAUAACGUAAUUUGCUGUGAGCACAUAAUUUGCUGUGUUCUAGUAUUGAACAGUUGGACUAUUUCCAUAUUUUAAUUUUUACUAUUAUGUUUGAGGAUGAUAUAUAAAUCUU